UACAGAGGGUGCGAGCGUUAAUCGGAAUUACUGGGCGUAAAGCGUGCGUAGACGGUAGCGUAAGUCAGAUGUGAAAGCCCCGGGCUCAACCUGGGAACUGCAUUUGAGACUGCUCUGCUCGGGUGCGGAAGAGGGAAGCGGAAUUUCCGGUGUAGCGGUGAAAUGCGUAGAUAUCGGAAGGAACACCAGUGGCGAAGGCGGCUUCCUGGUCCGACACCGACGUUCAGGCACGAAAGCGUGGGGAGCAAACAGG
Molecule: ribosomal RNA, 253 nt
Filed under: uncultured bacterium
Lineage: Bacteria
Description: partial 16S ribosomal RNA
Rfam family: Bacterial small subunit ribosomal RNA
Source: RNAcentral